RNAcentral lists this long non-coding RNA (973 nucleotides) under Astyanax mexicanus (Mexican tetra). RNAcentral describes it as "lncRNA (ENSAMXG00005017454.1)". The record is from RNAcentral. Lineage: Eukaryota; Metazoa; Chordata; Actinopteri; Characiformes; Acestrorhamphidae.
UUUGAGAAAGCAUGUUAUUGUACUUACUGCAUGCUUACAGCACUUGUUGGCUUCAUUCAAGUGCUCUGUGCUCUCUUAACACAGGAGAAGCCCAGGGAGGUGACUGAAAUGGCUACUAACACAGUUCAUGAGAGAGGAAGCAGCCUAAGAAUGAGAGGAAGAAAUAUAUCACCCCAUCUCUGUGGCUACCCCAGCCUUUCCUCUGGGCAUCUAAAGAGGGAUGCUGCUUGCUGCCUUCCUUCAGCAGCAGCCGGGUGGAGCAGAUUCAGGAUGGAGGAGCAUUAGGAACACUAUGGGAAUCUGACAGCUUGGCUCACUUUCACUGAGGGCUUGAGGAGACAGAGCAGAAGAGAGAGAGGGGGAGAGAGAGAGACAGAGAAAGAGGGAGUAGAAGCGAGAGAGAAAGAAAGAUCUUUUGUGCUGUUUCCUUUGCUGUUUCUCCUUCGCUGUGUAGCUGGACUUCUCCUGAAAGGUGAGUGUGAGUUUUCCCUCCGGAACAGGCUCUGGGCGGUCUAUGUAAAUGACUUAGUGCUUGCGAUGUGCUGCUUUCUUCUUCUUCUUUUCUCCUUGUUCUUUUUCCUCCUCUACCUUCCACUUCUUCUUUUUUCUCCUUUCUCUUUUUUAGCUUUAGCUUUGUUUACUUUUCUUUUCUGCUAUAAAGAUAAACUUCUGUUCCACUUUAAUUUCUGGAGCUCCCACUGGAAGGACUUUUAGGAGUUUUGGGGUCUGCAGUCACAGCAGUUACAGCUCAGUGUGUUGAUGAUUUUGGGUGCACUUAGCAUUUAAGCUAAUUUUAGUGAACCAGUGUUAGUGUGUUUGAUGCUAAAUGUGUUUGGUCUAACUUUGGUGUAUUUAUUCUGAGACUUUGUUGCUGAUGCUAAAUGUCAAGUGGUUAAACACCAUAGAGUUGUUUCAGAACUCAAAAGUUGUCAAGUCUUCAUAUUAUGAUUCAAAUAUAUGCAAAUAAAUAAAC